ACGAUAUGCUUUGGGGAGCUGUAAGUAAGCUUUGAUCCAGAGAUUUCCGAAUGGGGAAACCCAGCAUGAGUUAUGUCAUGUUAUCGAUAUGUGAAUACAUAGCAUAUCAGAAGGCACACCCGGAGAACUGAAACAUCUUAGUACCCGGAGGAAGAGAAAGAAAAUUCGAUUCCCUUAGUAGCGGCGAGCGAAACGGGAAGAGCCCAAACCAACAAGCUUGCUUGUUGGGGUUGUAGGACACUCUAUACGGAGUUACAAAGGACGACAUUAGACGAAUCAUCUGGAAAGAUGAAUCAAAGAAGGUAAUAAUCCUGUAGUCGAAAAUGUUGUCUCUCUUGAGUGGAUCCUGAGUACGACGGAGCACGUGAAAUUCCGUCGGAAUCUGGGAGGACCAUCUCCUAAGGCUAAAUACUCUCUAGUGACCGAUAGUGAACCAGUACCGUGAGGGAAAGGUGAAAAGCACCCCGGAAGGGGAGUGAAAUAGAACCUGAAACCGUGUGCUUACAAGUAGUCAGAGCCCGUUAAUGGGUGAUGGCGUGCCUUUUGUAGAAUGAACCGGCGAGUUACGAUUUGAUGCAAGGUUAAGCAGUAAAUGUGGAGCCGUAGCGAAAGCGAGUCUGAAUAGGGCGUUUAGUAUUUGGUCGUAGACCCGAAACCAGGUGAUCUACCCUUGGUCAGGUUGAAGUUCAGGUAACACUGAAUGGAGGACCGAACCGACUUACGUUGAAAAGUGAGCGGAUGAACUGAGGGUAGCGGAGAAAUUCCAAUCGAACCUGGAGAUAGCUGGUUCUCUCCGAAAUAGCUUUAGGGCUAGCCUCAAGUGAUGAUUAUUGGAGGUAGAGCACUGUUUGGACGAGGGGCCCCUCUCGGGUUACCGAAUUCAGACAAACUCCGAAUGCCAAUUAAUUUAACUUGGGAGUCAGAACAUGGGUGAUAAGGUCC
This 942-nucleotide ribosomal RNA is filed under the name Staphylococcus aureus. RNAcentral's name for it is "partial 23S ribosomal RNA". It matches the Rfam family "Bacterial large subunit ribosomal RNA", at positions 68 to 1006 of the family's 2925-position model. The record is from RNAcentral. Lineage: Bacteria; Bacillati; Bacillota; Bacilli; Caryophanales; Staphylococcaceae.